RNAcentral lists this long non-coding RNA (462 nucleotides) under Gallus gallus (chicken). Lineage: Eukaryota; Metazoa; Chordata; Aves; Galliformes; Phasianidae. The record is from RNAcentral.
GAAAAACAAAAAUAAUUGGAUUGUGGCAAACUAUUUUCCUGUUUCAACAUUCCUUUUGGAUUAGGUUUUCGGUGAUGUAGACCACUAUGCCUAUUUGUUCAAAAGACAUAAAUGUGAAAUCACUGUUUUAUUGCAUUUAAAAUGUGUUCCUCCUCUUUUACCUCUUAUGGAGAGAGAAAAAAAAGUUUCAUUUUUCAUUUGUUCCCAAGUUUUUUUAAAAUUCUCAAGUUCUUCUGAUUUGUUUUCUAAUGGAUGUACCAAGACUGGUAACACAAUGGAAGAAACAAAAAUAGGAAGAGACUGAGGAAACAGCAGUGAAUGAAAAAACUUCACUUCUACAGAUCAGGCCUGUCCAGCAACGUUCAUUUCUACCUUCAGUCUGCUCAAGCUGCAGCUCUUCAAGAACUGCCCGGAGCACCUCCUGCCCUCCUUCUCCACUGACCGUGGUGUCUGCACAGCUGU